This 343-nucleotide unclassified non-coding RNA is filed under the name fungal sp. RNAcentral describes it as "partial internal transcribed spacer region". The stretch from base 1 to 46 matches the Rfam family "Eukaryotic small subunit ribosomal RNA", at positions 1786 to 1831 of the family's 1831-position model. The record is from RNAcentral. Lineage: Eukaryota; Fungi.
AAGUCGUAACAAGGUUUCCGUAGGUGAACCUGCGGAAGGAUCAUUAAUGCAAAGAUACGCCAUUCCCUUUGCCGGGAACGGCUAUCGAUAUACGCUCACCAAACGCUCGGGCUUCUUUUUGUUGUUCACAAGCGACAAGAAAAGCUCGACGUCACAACAACCUGAGGGCUGAGAACGAGUCUUUCCUUUGGGAGAAUUGUUCUCUAUUCCUCCUUUUUAUACCAUCAUUACCCUUCUUCUUUGAAACUCGUAGACUGAUAUGAAAAAAUGUUGUGACUACAUUUCACACACACACAAAAAAAAAUGUAAAGAACAACUCUUAGCAAUGGAUAUCUAGGCUCUC